Molecule: ribosomal RNA, 253 nt
Filed under: uncultured bacterium
Lineage: Bacteria
Description: partial 16S ribosomal RNA
Rfam family: Bacterial small subunit ribosomal RNA
Source: RNAcentral
UACGGGGGGAGCAAGCGUUGUUCGGAUUUACUGGGCGUAAAGGGCGCGUAGGCGGCAUGGCAAGUCAGGAGUGAAAGGCCUGGGCUCAACCGAGGAACUGCUUUUGAUACUGCCAUGCUAGAGUGCAGAAGGGGCAAUCGGAAUUCUUGGUGUAGCGGUGAAAUGCGUAGAUAUCAAGAGGAACACCUGAGGUGAAGACGGGUUGCUGGGCUGACACUGACGCUGAGGCGCGAAAGCCAGGGGAGCAAACGGG